This 1165-nucleotide long non-coding RNA is filed under the name Equus caballus (horse). RNAcentral describes it as "lncRNA (ENSECAG00000055568.1)". The record is from RNAcentral. Lineage: Eukaryota; Metazoa; Chordata; Mammalia; Perissodactyla; Equidae.
UCUUUUCAGCUUCAGUCCAGGAGGUAUCCUCCCUCGGACUGAGAUGUCAACGCAUGGGCCCCUCUCACAUCUUUGUAGCGUUUUAGGAAUGUGGAUCCUUUCUUCAUGUCAAUCCAGUAACGAGGAGUUUACUCCAAAUUUGUUUCUUAUUAAACCCUGUGACUACUGAGGACAGAAGUAGGAUUGGUGAUGGAUGCCACUGAGAAAACUAUUUGAUAUAAAGAACUUUCUGACAACCAGAGCUGUGCAAUCCAGAAGAAGCCUGCCGUCAGAGGACCUGAGUUCCUGGUGGGGAGAGACAGACAGGAGAGGGAACUCGCCGCUGGCUGGGGAAGACCAUCUACUCAGAGCCGGGGACACGCGGAUCUACCGCACUGUGCUGGUGCUGAGGACAGGCCUUUAUUGGGCUUAUUUCUGGAUUUCGGGACACAUGGUAAACGUUCAGUAAAUACAUUGUUAACAAAUGAAGAAAUAGCACAGAGGACCUUGCAUUUGUUGAGCGGUGCAGUGGAUAGAGAAAGUUUAAGAUCCCUUAACUGAAAUUCUUGGAAGGGCUUGUUGUCCUGUGGAAAACGAAUUGGACAGUAAGGGUACAAUGUCAUGGCCUCACCUUGAAGGCAUUUACAGUCUAGAAAGACUGUUCCAUAAAGACCAAUUCCAUACUGUGAAAACUAUAAUUGCAUCACGGACAAGAGUGAAUCGAUGUAUAGAGGACAGAGCCCCAUUGAUUGAAGGGGACCAAUCUACUAAGUAUCUGCUGAAAGAAGAUUUGGAGCUCUGAAGACAACCCUUUGAAGCCCUGUGGCUCCUGGGACAGCGCCCCUCCUAUAUGAAGUCCAACGGGAUAAUAGAGGGUGCCCAAAAGCAGAAGAGAUACGUGCAAGAUGCACGUUCACGCUGUUCCUUGCCACCUCAUUGGCAUCCCAUUCAAGAUGCUCACUGGCACAGAAUUCCAGUGAGCCCGCAUUGCAUGGGAGUUCAGCAAGACCCAACGCAAGUACAAAGUAAGCAUGUUCUGUCUGACUGAGUGAGAAGGGGUGCUGACUGCUCUGAAGGGCCAAGCUUUCCACUUGAAUCAGAACUUUUUCAAAUGCAGAAGAAAGGCAAUGGCACUCUAAGACACAUGAACAACCAGGAGUGCUAACAUAUCUUUGUUACUCGUUAU